AUUUGAGUUGUCUUAACUUAGAAAAACUAAGUAAGCUGGAAGUUUUGCUUCUCAGGGCGGAAGGAUGAAAGAUGUGUUUUGAAAAUGCCGCGUCACUACCGUCCUCCUCCCUCCCGGAUCAGUCCGCAUGUUCACGGUGCAUUUUUUAUGGAAUAUGUUGAGCAAACCUGGAGAAGCGUCAGCUCAAGAUAUUAUUGUUGUCAUUGCUGUGGAUUUUUACCUGAUACACUGACUUUGCUCGGGACCAGCACUCCUGUUGUUGGACACAAAGACAUCAACUCAGUGACUUGAGAUAUGACUGCACUAUGCUGUUGCUGGUGACCACAGUUAAUUCUACAAGACAUGCUGUGUAAGUAAACAAACAACAACAGUUUGGUCUGCAUUUCUUGAAAGAUCACAUCCCCCAAACUUAGUUUAGAGGGUCUACACUGUAUAUAGUGAAGUCUGCAAGUUUUCUAACAGCAAAAUCUGUUUUGUGCCCAAAAUCAUUUUGCACAUCAUUAGAAUGAAAGUUAUUGGCCAUGUUUGCAUAGCCCUUUUUAAAAUGAUGCUUUCAUGACAUUAUUGUGUGUUGGGUGGUGGUCAGGGUUAUCCAGACUGACAAUUUGGGACAUUGAAUGUCACCUCUCCGGUGGG
Molecule: long non-coding RNA, 636 nt
Organism: Oreochromis aureus
Lineage: Eukaryota; Metazoa; Chordata; Actinopteri; Cichliformes; Cichlidae
Source: Ensembl